Molecule: ribosomal RNA, 369 nt
Filed under: Xenorhabdus griffiniae
Lineage: Bacteria; Pseudomonadati; Pseudomonadota; Gammaproteobacteria; Enterobacterales; Morganellaceae
Description: bacterial SSU rRNA
Rfam family: Bacterial small subunit ribosomal RNA
Source: RNAcentral
UAAUUGAAGAGUUUGAUCAUGGCUCAGAUUGAACGCUGGCGGCAGGCCUAACACAUGCAAGUCGAGCGGCAGCGGGGGAAAGCUUGCUUUCCUGCCGGCGAGCGGCGGACGGGUGAGUAAUGUCUGGGGAUCUGCCCGAGGGCGGGGGAUAACCACUGGAAACGGUGGCUAAUACCGCAUAAUCUCUGAGGAGCAAAGUGGGGGACCUUCGGGCCUCACGCCAUCGGAUGAACCCAGAUGGGAUUAGCUAGUAGGUGAGGUAAUGGCUCACCUAGGCGACGAUCCCUAGCUGGUCUGAGAGGAUGACCAGCCACACUGGGACUGAGACACGGCCCAGACUCCUACGGGAGGCAGCAGUGGGGAAUAUUG